UACGUAGGGUGCGAGCGUUAAUCGGAAUUACUGGGCGUAAAGCGUGCGCAGGCGGCGCCGCAAGUCAGGCGUGAAAUCCCCGAGCUUAACUUGGGAAUGGCGCUUGUGACUGGCAGGCUGGAGUGUGGCAGAGGGAGGUGGAAUUCCACGUGUAGCAGUGAAAUGCGUAGAGAUGUGGAGGAACACCGAUGGCGAAGGCAGCCUCCUGGGCCAACACUGACGCUCAUGCACGAAAGCGUGGGGAGCAAACAGG
Molecule: ribosomal RNA, 253 nt
Filed under: uncultured bacterium
Lineage: Bacteria
Description: partial 16S ribosomal RNA
Rfam family: Bacterial small subunit ribosomal RNA
Source: RNAcentral